UAAGACGUAGGAUGCGAGCGUUGUUCGGAAUUACUGGGCGUAAAGCGUGCGUAGGCGGUCCACCAAGCCGGCGUUGAAAGCCCGAGGCUCAACCUCGGAGACGGCGCCGGGACUGAUGGGCUAGAGGACGGCAGAGGAAGGUGGAAUUCCCAGUGUAGCGGUGAAAUGCGUAGAUAUUGGGAGGAACACCAGUGGCGAAAGCGACCUUCUGGGCUAGUCCUGACGCUGAGGUACGAAAGCGUGGGGAGCAAACGGGAUUAGAUACCCCGGUAGUCCACGCGGUAAACGAUGGGUGCUAGGUGUAGGUGGUAUCGACCCCACCUGUGCCGAAGCUUACGCGAUAAGCACCCCGCCUGGGGAGUACGGCCGCAAGGUUG
This 377-nucleotide ribosomal RNA is filed under the name uncultured bacterium. RNAcentral's name for it is "bacterial SSU rRNA". It matches the Rfam family "Bacterial small subunit ribosomal RNA", at positions 521 to 896 of the family's 1533-position model. The record is from RNAcentral.